GCGUCCGUAGCUCACCUGGAUAGAGCAACAGACUUCGAAUCUGUAGGUAGCACGUUCGAGUCGUGUCGGACGCA
Molecule: transfer RNA, 74 nt
Filed under: Treponema sp.
Lineage: Bacteria; Pseudomonadati; Spirochaetota; Spirochaetia; Treponematales; Treponemataceae
Description: tRNA-Arg
Rfam family: tRNA
About the family: Transfer RNA (tRNA) molecules are approximately 80 nucleotides in length.
Source: RNAcentral